RNAcentral lists this ribosomal RNA (474 nucleotides) under uncultured bacterium. RNAcentral's name for it is "bacterial SSU rRNA". It matches the Rfam family "Bacterial small subunit ribosomal RNA", at positions 1 to 475 of the family's 1533-position model. The record is from RNAcentral.
AAUUCGCCCUUAGAGUUUGAUCCUGGCUCAGAUUGAACGCUGGCGGCAUGCCUUACACAUGCAAGUCGAACGGUAACGCGGGGCAACCUGGCGACGAGUGGCGAACGGGUGAGUAAUAUAUCGGAACGUGCCCAGUCGUGGGGGAUAACUGCUCGAAAGAGCAGCUAAUACCGCAUACGACCUGAGGGUGAAAGCGGGGGAUCUUCGGACCUCGCGCGAUUGGAGCGGCCGAUAUCAGAUUAGGUAGUUGGUGGGGUAAAGGCCUACCAAGCCGACGAUCUGUAGCUGGUCUGAGAGGACGACCAGCCACACUGGGACUGAAACACGGCCCAGACUCCUACGGGAGGCAGCAGUGGGGAAUUUUGGACAAUGGGGGCAACCCUGAUCCAGCCAUGCCGCGUGCGGGAAGAAGGCCUUCGGGUUGUAAACCCCUUUUGUCAAGGAAGAAAUCCUUUGGGCUAAUAACUCGGAGGG